Molecule: small nuclear RNA, 69 nt
Filed under: Propithecus coquereli (Coquerel's sifaka)
Lineage: Eukaryota; Metazoa; Chordata; Mammalia; Primates; Indriidae
Source: RNAcentral
GCGCUCACUUUGGCAGCACAUAUACUAAAACUGGAAUGAUACAGAGAAGAUUAGCAUGGCCCCUGCACA